Molecule: ribosomal RNA, 484 nt
Filed under: uncultured bacterium
Lineage: Bacteria
Description: partial 16S ribosomal RNA
Rfam family: Bacterial small subunit ribosomal RNA
Source: RNAcentral
AUUGAACGCUGGCGGCAGGCCUAACACAUGCAAGUCGAGCGGAUGAAGGGAGCUUGCUCCUGGAUUCAGCGGCGGACGGGUGAGUAAUGCCUAGGAAUCUGCCUGGUAGUGGUGGAUAACGUCCGAAAACGGGCGCUAAUACCGCAUACGUCCUGAGGGAGAAAGUGGGGGAUCUUCGGACCUCACGCUAUCAGAUGAGCCUAGGUCGGAUUAGCUAGUUGGUGUGGUAAAGGCCUACCAAGGCGACGAUCCGUAACUGGUCUGAGAGGAUGAUCAGUCACACUGGAACUGAGACACGGUCCAGACUCCUACGGGAGGCAGCAGUGGGGAAUAUUGGACAAUGGGCGAAAGCAUGAUACAGCCAUGCCGCGUGUGUGAAGAAGGUCUUCGGAUUGUAAAGCACUUUAAGUUGGGAGGAAGGGAAGUAAGUUAAUACCUUGCUGUUUUGACGUUACCAACAGAAUAAGCACCGGCUAACUUCGUG